RNA transcript from Mirounga angustirostris (Northern elephant seal), 12686 nucleotides. It is a transcript of the gene named NADH dehydrogenase [ubiquinone] 1 alpha subcomplex subunit 1-like, with no coding region annotated. Lineage: Eukaryota; Metazoa; Chordata; Mammalia; Carnivora; Phocidae. The transcript has a single exon. The record is from RefSeq and is a predicted model, not a curated record.
CUAAGAAAUGCUAACACUUCCCUGUGUCUCAUGUCUUCCCUUUAGGUUGUUUCUUUCCUUCUUUUCCCUUUCUGGCUACAAAAUAGUCAUUGCGAGCAACCCACAGUUGAAAGAAAUGUAAAAACCAGAAAAUCAACCACCCAUGAGUCCUCAGAGGCAACAGUUAUUAAGGUUUCUACAUGUUUCCUUUCUAGUUUUUCUCUCUGUAUGCAUUUCUUUAUGGUGUUGACACCAUCCCAUAUGUGUUAUUUUUGUUGCUCUUUCUUUUUUCUCUAAUAUUGUGAUAUAAGAAUUUCCCCAUGGUAUAAAAACAUCUUCUUGAGCCUACUUUAAAUGGAUGCAUAGUAUUCCACUGGGUGUGAAUGUUCCAGAAGUUAUUCAGUCCCUGUCCUUGGACAGUGCAGCUGGCUUCCAAUCCCUUGAAUGUUCUAAAUCACAAGGGGCCUGCCUUUUGGCUACAUCUCCUUUGAUUUGCAGCUGUGGUUGGGAAAGAAGCAUGCUUUUCCUUUGUCUAGGUUCCCUUACCUUUAGUAUUAUUUCUCUAACUUAAAAUCACUAGCAGCUCUGAUUGGAGAAGGGUGGGAAUAACAAGAAAUGCCUUAACAAUGGAGCAGCAGAGAUUGGAAACAAAGCAAAUGUAUUUGUUCUCUCACAUCUGUCCUGCAUUUUCCUGGAGGUUCUAGCCAGUGUACACAGGGAAAAAAGAAAAUAAAAGGCAUACAGUUCGGAAAGGAAGAAAUAAAACUGCCUUGAUUCACAGAUGACAUGAUUCUGUUGGAGAAAAUCGUAAGGGAGCCACAAGAAAAAAAAAAUACUAGAACUAAUAAGUUUAGUAAGAUUACAGGAUACAAGAUCGAUAUAAAAAAUCAACUGUUGGGGCGCCUGGGUGGCUCAGAUGGUUAGGCGUCUGCCUUCAGCACAGGUCAUGAUCCCAGGGUCCUGGGAUCGAGCCCCGCAUUGGGCUCCUGGCUCAGCGGGGAGCCUGCUUCUCCCUCUGCCUCUGCCUCUCCCCCUGCUCAUGCUCUCUCUCUCUCUGUGUCUCAAAUGAAUAAAUAAAAUAUUAAAAAAAAAAAAAAAUCAACUGUAGAGGCACCUGGCUGGCUCAAUCGGUGGAAUGUGAGACUCUUGAUCUCAGGGUUGUAAGUUCAAGCCUGACAUUGGGCAUGGAGCCUCAUUGAAAAAAAAAAUAAAAUAAAAAAAUAAAAAAUAAAAAUCUUUCUUUAUUAAAAAAAAAAAAUCAGUUGUACCUCUAAAUACUAAGCAUGAACAAUCCAAAAAUGAAAUUAAGAAAAUAAUUCCACUCACAAUAACAUCAAAAAGAAUAAAAUACUUAGGGGCGCCUGGGUGGCUCAGAUGGUUAGCGUCUGCCUUUGGCUCAGGUCAUGAUCCCAGAGUCCUGCGAUCGAGCCCUUCAUCAGGCUCCUGGCUCAGUGGGGAGCCUGCUUCUCCCUCUCCCUCUGCCUUUGCCUCUGCCCCUGCUCAUGCUCUCGCUCUCUCUCUGUAUCAAAUUAAUAAAUAAAAUCUUUAAAAAAAAAAGAAUAAAAUACUUAGGAAUAAAUUGAAUAAAAGAAGUACAAGGUUUAUACAUUAAAACUACAAAACACUGUUGAGAAAAACUAAACCAGCUCUAAAUUAAUGGAGAGACAUUACAUACUCAUGGAUUAGAAGACUCAGUAGUGUUAAAAUGGCACUUCUUACUACUCAGGCAUAAAAAAGAAUGAUAUCUUGCCAUUUGCAAUGACAUGGAUAGAACUAGAGAGUAUUAUGCUAGGUGAAACAAGUCAAAGAAAAACAAAUGCUCUAUGAUUUCAUUCAUAUGUGGAAUUUAAGAAACAAAACAAACGAGCAAAGGGGAAAAAAAAGAGAGGCAAACCAAGAAACAGACUCUUAACUAUAGAGAAUAAACUGAUGGUUUCCAGAGGUGAAAGCGGGGCGGGGGGGGGGGAGGGGGCGGAGAUGGGUAAAAUAGUGAUGGGGAUUGAGGAGUGCACUUGCUGUGAUGAGCACCAGGUGAAGUAUGGAAGUGCUAAAUCACUGUAUUGUGCACUAAAACUAGUAUUACACUGAAUACUAACUGGAAUUUAAAUAAAAACUUAAAAAAAUCUAGGAGAAUAAAUUAGAAUUUGGGGGUCAGGAUGAAUUUCUUAAUAAGAACAACGUGUGUGUGUGUGUGUGUGUGUUAUAUGUGGAAUUUGUAGAAAUUGAUGUGAAAAAGACAAACAACCAUACAGGGAAAAUGGGCAAAGGACAGGAUUGGAAAUACAAAAAAAAAAAGAUAAAUCCCAAUGACAAACAAAAAAUAACAAAAAAAUAAUAAAUAAAUAAAGUGGCAGUUCUUCCCCAAUCGAUCUAUACAUUCAAUAUAAUCUCUGUCAAACUCCUAGUAAGCUUUUUUGUAGAAAUUAACAAGCUGAUCCUAAAUUGUAUGGAGAAAUGCAAGGAACCCAAAAUAGCCAAAACAAUUAUGAAAAAAAAGAACAAAAUUAGAGGCUUAUAGUACCCAUUUCAAAACUUCCUACAAAAGCUACAGUAAUCAAGACUGGCAUAAGGAUAGGCACGUAGACCAGUAGAACAGAAGUGAGGGCCUAGAAAUAAACUUUUGUGAAAUUUAUGGUCAAUUGAUUUUCAGCAAUGGUGCCAAGAAAUUCAAUAGGGACAGGAUAAUCUUUUUAACAGUGUGGGAUAAUAGGAUAUCCAUACACCAAAAAAAAGGGGAAAAAAUUAAGUUGGAUCCCUACUUCACACCAUGCACAAAAAUCAACUCAAAAUGAUCACAGACCUAAACAUAAGAGCUAAAAUUAUAAAACUUCUAGAAGAAAACAGGAGAAAAUCUUUAUGACCAUGAUUUAGGCAGAGAGUUCCUAGAUAUGACACCAAAAGAGAAAAAUUGGUAAGUUGGACUUCAUUAAACUUCCAAACUCUGUACUUCAAAAAAAUCCGGUGAAGAAAAUAAAAAGACAUGUCACAGAUUAGGAGAAAAUAUUUGUAAAUCAUCUCUGACAAGGGACUUGUAUUGAAUCUAUACAAAGAACUCUUAAAACUUAACCAUAAAGAUGUUCCGGUUUAAAAAUAGACAAAAGAGACCUUUACCGGGCUGGGCAGGCAGGCAGGGGUUUGGCUCUGGCAGCGGCGCUGCGAUGUGGUUCGAGAUCCUGCCCGGGAUCGGCGUCAUGGCCGUGUGCUUGGUCAUCCCCGGCAUAGCCACGGCGCACAACCACAGGAAAAAAGGGUUGCCUAUUAUCCGUAUCAGUGGAGUUUGAUGCAAAGAGGUAGGUGGGUCUCUGGAGUUAAUCGUUACUAUGUGUCAAAGGGUUUGGAGAAUAUCGAUUAAGGAAGCAUUUUCCUGAUUGAUGAAAAAUAACUCAGUCAUACUCAUCUACCCCUUCUAGAAGGUUAUGCAGUGUAUUAAUGUAGUGCAUAAUAAAAACAACAAAAAAGUAAAUAAAUAAAUAAAAAUAGACAAAAGAUGUGAAUAGAAAUUUCACCCAAGAAGAUGCAUGAUGGUUAAUAAGCACAUGAAAAGGUGUUCAGCUUCAUUAAUCAUUAGGCAAUCAUUAGGUAAUGAGAAACCUGCACAGCCACUGGAAUGGCUAUAAUCCACAAGAUAGACAAAACCAAGAACUGGUGAGGAUAUGGAGAAACUGGAGCCCUCGCUCUGGUGGGGACACAGGAUGAGAAGCCACUCUGGAAAAUAGUUUGGCACUUUCUUCCACAAGUGAAAUAUGACCACUCUUAGGUAUCUACUCCAGAGAAUUGAAAACUUACAUCCACACAAAGACUUGAAUGUACAUGUUUGUAGCAGUACUAACUCAUAAUAGCCAAAAACUGGAAGCAAUCCAGAUGUCCAUCAUCAGGUGCAUAGAUAAAGAAAAUGUGGAAUACCCAUACAAUAGAAUAUUUUUGACAAUAAAAUGCAGUGAAAUCCUGAUAAAUAUUGCAACUUGGAUGACUCUCAAACACAUGAUGCUAAAAGAAGCCAGAUGCAAAAGGCUACGUGUUGCAUGAUUCCAUCUCCAUGAAAUGUGCAGAAAAGGCAACUUUAUAGAGACAGAGAGCAGAUCAGUGGUUUCCAAGGCCUGAGGACAGUGCAGGCAGAGAUGGACCACACGUUAGGUGGGGGAAAUUUUUGAGGCGAUGGAAAAGUUCUAAAACUAGAUUGUGGUGUUGGCUGCACAACUCUAUAAUUUACUAAAUAUCAUUGAAUUGUGUACUUAGAAUGCGUGGAUUUUAUAAUACAUAAAUUAUACUUCAAUACAUCUUUAAAAAAAUGUAAAGGGGGGCAGUGUGGGGAUAUAUGACCCUUGUCUUGGCAAGAGACCUCAUGGAAGGGCAGAAAAUCACUCCUGAUCACUCCUGAUCACUCCUGUCUUCUCUUUGCCAAACAUGACCUCCUUUCAUCCCUCCAACAACCUUAAGAAAUAGGUUUUAUUAUUCCCAUUGCGUAGGCGAAGAAACAGAGACACAAGAAAGUUACUUACAACAAUAGUAUUGGAGGAUUUGAUGGUUGAAUGCUGGCCUUUUAGGACUUGGCCCUCACAUACCACUUACAGCCUCUCUCUCUCUCUCCUAAGGAUAUCCUUAAAAAGGGAUUGGGGAGUGAAGGGCAGGGAAGGUCACCCAGGCACAAAGGUACUACUACUGCCUCCCAACUCUCAGAGGAAAUUUCAGAUCUUCUCCUCUUUGUGUCUUUUCAAACCUCUAGAGCCUAAAAGUCCUUUGUCCAGGCCUUGCUGGCAAGAACUUCGGACCUCUGGGGUUAUCUUGGCCAGCUGGGGAUUUCCACCUGGUACCUUCCCUAGCAACUAUUGUCUCUCAGCCCAAAGUGUGCUAUCCUGCUUCUUACCCCGGCCCACCCAGCUUCUCCCCAGAGUGACACUUUAUACCCAGGACUUCACGAACCUCCAGAUACUUGAUUUGGAAAAGGAGAUUUAAAAUCAUGAAAUGAGGGGCACCUGUGUGGCUCAGUUGGGCAUCCAACUCUUGAUUUUGGCUCAGGUUGUGAUCUUGGGGGUCGUGGGAUCGAGCCCCGAGACUCCAGGCUCAGCAGGAAGUGUGCUUGAGGUUCUCUCUCUCUCCCUCUCCCUCUGCCCAUCUACCCCCAAAAUAAAUAAAUAAAUCUUUUUUAAAAAUCCUGAAAUAAAAAGAGAUAGCAGCAGCUGCCUGCAUCUGGCUGAUGCUUGGAAUGGUAUAGAGAUCAUGAAUUCACCUGGUUUCACCAUAGGGAAGAAGUGGCUUAUGUCAGAUGAGCCACAUGAAAGUUACCACUCCGUGCAAUUAAUGCAUCAUAAGAAGCAGAACAGAGCAGAUAUUUUGGGGUUUGGGUUGGCCAAAUUCCCCGGCUUGGCUUCAAGGGAACUGCCCUCCUGGAAGGAGAUGAAACUAUCUAUUCCAAGGUUUGCAAAAUCUUUUACAGACUACACAGACUUUUACUUAACAUUUGAGUAUCUGUUAUUGGCAUUGUUUUGAGCUGACUUAAGCCAAUUUAACCUAUAACUAUUAGCUUUAUUUUAGUAGAAAUUGGUAGUCUCCAAUAGAUAAAGAUAGAGAAAGGCUGUAGGUAUCCCAAACCUAAUUCCAACUAGGAAGAAACUUUCUGCUCUACUAGACCUAUUAUAAAGUUACAGUAAUUAACAUAGUGUGGUGUUGGCACAAGGAUAGGCAGACCAUUGGAACUAAAUAGAGAAGCCAGAAACAGACCUGUGUGUAUUUGAACACUUAAAUACUGACAAAGGCAGCGUUGCCGAUCAUUGAGGAAAGGUUGGCUUCCUCAGUAAGUGGGGAUCUUUAUGGGGGAAAAAAAAUGGUAACUAACCCCUGCCUCACACCAUACGUGUAAUCAUUUCCAAGGAAAUUAAAGACCUAAAUGUAAGAGGCAAUAGUAUAAAAGGUUUUAUUUAUUUAUUUUUUUUUAAAGAUUUUAUUUAUUUAUUUGAGACAGAGAGAAUGAGAGACAGAGAGCAUGAGAGGGAGGAGGGUCAGAGGGAGAAGCAGACUCCCUGCCGAGCAGGGAGCCCGAUGCGGAACUCGAUCCUGGGACUCCAGGAUCAUGACCUGAGCCGAAGGCAGUCGCUUAACCAACUGAGCCACCCAGGCGCCCCGUAUAAAAGGUUUUAAAAGAUAAAAAUAGGGGGGAAAAAACUUUAUAAUCUCUAGGUAUAGAGGGAUUUUUAAAGACAAAGUACCAGCCAUUAAAAGAUUGAUUUAUUUGACUACAUUAAAUUUAAGAACCUCUGUUCAUUGAAGAACACAGUGAAAACAAAACUUGGCCAAAUACUGCCACAUAUACAAGCAUUAUCAAGCAGCUCCCUAAACAGCCUCUCAAGUUGUUCUGUAAGCUUAUUGAAACACCAGCUGUCAGUCUGACACCACUUUGCAUGGACAUUUCCUCGAGACAAAUGGAAUGAUAUCCCAGUGCCAGGAUCUGCUAAUCCCACCCUGGUCUGACAUUUAAAUCCCCUAGAAGAAACAGAACACAGAGGAUUCAGAAUCCUAGACCCUGGGCACCAUUUUGGAGGAUGGACUUGGCACGUUCUUUUCAUGCAAGGGCCAGAGUAUCUGAGAAUAUUUCUAGAAUAUCCCUCAUUUCACCAGUAAAGAAUAUCAUUUCUAACAACUGUUGUGCUGGUGGAUAAAGGCUACAGUGUUGGUCAGAGGUCAAGAUAACUGAAGCCAUGAGAUAGCCUUUUCUAGAGUGAGGACUUGUGAUGAGAGUUCUUUACUUGCCAAAGUGUUCAUUUCUGAUGAAGAUUGAAAUUUUUACUAACCAUCAUUGGGGUGUAGCUUAAAUCUAACACACACACACAUACACACACAGACAGACACACACAUGAGUGUGUUUGCCCAUACUGUGGUAUUUUGAACUAAAUGAUAGGCAGUCUAAUAACAGUGUUUACCAGACUCCAGCCAUUUGAGACCUCCUGUCAAGAUGUUUACUGUAUACUACCACCUGUAUUAUUAUUAUUAAAAUUAACUCACUUUAACUUCUUAAAAAUAAUACAUUUUAGAGGAAAUUUUAUAAUACAUCAUAAUAUAAAACUGCUAAAACUUGCCAAAAAUAAAAGAGCAAUGAAACAAUAGCAACAAAGGAUAUGUCUUUAAGUCAAGCCAGCUGCUGCCUGCCUACCCAAAGCCCCGAACUACCUGGUCCUGCUCUUUUUCUUUUUUCUUUUUUAAGGUUUAUUUAUUUAUUUUAGAGCAUGUGCCAGUGAGGGCUGGGGGAGGGGCAGAGGGAGAGAAUCUUCAAGCUGAUCCCCCGCUGAGCACCGAGCCCCACGCAGGGCUCAAUCCCAUGACCCAUAAGGUCAUGACCUGAGCCAAAACCAAGAGUUGGAUGCUCAACUGACUGAGCCACCCAGGUGCCCCAACCUGGUCCUGCUCUUAAAGAGACAAGUUAGAAAAGCUUUUUCUUCCAGGAAUUUCCCAGUUUUAGGUCUUAUGUUUAAGUCUUUAAUCCAUUUGGAGUGGAUUUUUGCGUGUGGUGUAAGAUAAGGGCCCAGUGUCAUUCUUUUGCAUGUGGAUGUUGUUCUCCCAGCACCAUUUGUUGAAGAGACUGUCCCUUUCCUGUUAUAUGUUCUCGGUGCCUUUGUCAAAGACCAGUUGCCUAUAUGUGUGGAUUUAUUUGAGGGCUUUUGGCAGUGAUUUCAUGGAUAUGAUACCAAAAGCAGAGGCAACAAAAAUAAAAAUAAACUAGUGGGACUACAUCAAACUAAAAAGCUGCACAAUAAAGGAAAUAAUCAACAGAGUAAAAAAGCAACAUACAAAAUGGAAGAAAAUAUUUGCAAAUCAUAUAUCUGUCAAGGGGUCAAUCUCAAAUAUAUAAAGAACCCAUAUAUCUCAAGAGUAAAAAAGCUAAUAACCUGAUUUAAAAAUGGGCUAAGGCCUUGAAUAGACAGUUCUCCAAAGAAGAUACACAAAUAACCAACUGGUAUAUGAAAAACUGCUUAAUGUCACUCAUCAUCAGGGAAAUGCAAAUCAAAACCACAAUGUGAUACCACCUCACAUUUGUCAGGAUGGCUAUUAUAAAAAAACAAAAACAAAAAACAAGUGUUGGUAAGGAUAUGGAGAAACUGGAACACUUGCAUACUGUUGGUGGGAAUGCGAAAUGCAGCCCCUAUGAAAAACAGUAUGGAGGUUCCUCAAAAAAUUAAAAAUAGUGCUACCAUAUGAUCCAGCAAUCCCACUUCUUGGUAUACAUCCAAAGAAAUUGAAGUCAGGAUCUGGAAGAGAGAUUAGCACUCCCAUGCUAGCACUAUUCCUGAUAGCCAAGAUGUAGAAACAACCUGAACGUGGUAUAUACAUACAACAGAAUACUAUUCCACCUUUUGAAAGGAUAUUCGACAAUAUGUCACAAUGUGGAUGAACCUUAAGGACGCUUUACGAAGUGAAAUAAGCCAGUCGCAGAAAGAUAAAAUCCCACAUGAUUCCACUUACAUGAUCUGAAAUAGUCAAGCUCAGAAUCACAGAGCAAAAUGGUAGUUGCUGGGGGCCGGAGGGACAGAAAAACGGGGCGUUACUAACCGACGGGUAUAAAGUUGCGGCCAAGCAAGAGGAGUAAGCUCUAGAGAUCCACAGUACAACACCCAAUAAUACUGUAUUGUGCACUUAAAAUUUGUCACGAGGAUAGAUCUCGUGGUGAGUGUUCUUAUCACACUGAAAUAAAAUUUUAAAAAUAUAAUGAGAGAAAAGUGGUAAUUCGCUGGGGCAUUCAUUUUGAAGUUCAAGAGGAUUGAAAGAACUGAGAAAACCCAACUCCCUCACUAGGCGAGGCAUUGUUAUUUAGCAGAGCCGUCUUGCUGGCUCUAGAAUCACCUCCCGGAACCACUACACUACUGUACUUGAUUAAUACAGUACCGAGAGACAAAGAGUUAAUGUUGUCAAGCAGCUAGUGUAUGAUGGAAAUCUUAAAGCCACUUCCUCACUUAUUCUGUAGCACAACCUUCCAAGGUGGGUGUUUGUGAUUUCCAUUUUACAGAUGAGCAAACUGAAGCUCAGAGAGGUGCUGGGACAUGGCCAGAGCGAGAAUCAGGAGCUGGGGCUAUCUGACCUUUAUCAUGACUCUCAGCAAACAGGACUCUUUCUGCUCACCUCUCCUCUCAUCCCUGCAUCGACCAGCCACAUCUAUCCAAAGGGCCAGGAUUCUCUCCGGGACAGAACUGAGUUUUCCUGGAACUGUGGUUCUUUGUUUUUACUGACCGAACACAAGACAGUUCUGGAGUAUUUCAGAAGCAGAAUUAUUUCUCUGCCCCAGGUCAUGUUUUUAUGUUAGCCUGUCCUUCCAAAAUGAAAGGGGUAAACAUCAAAGCAUUCAGUGCCGCCUUUUAUUAGUAACUUGGCUGUAUUUUAUGGUUUAGGGAUUUGGCUUUUACUUCCUAGGAAUUGCUCAAAACCAAAAGGGAACUUGGCAUUGUCAGGAGGUUUCCGUGGGCCUCGUUGUCCCUUCCCUCACUGGUCCUUUAGGAGCCUCUGAUCAUUUCAGCAGGGAGCACCCCGGGAGCCCCCCCGUAGGUGGAGCCAUGGCCACCUCAGGGCCCACCCUGCUCUCCCUCAUGGCAUUGGUCCAGGGAAUACUUUCAACCAGGCAUCAGGGGCUCCCCAACACUAUCUAGACCUCUGGGAAGGUGCAGGAGAAACAGCCACAUACCCCUGCCUUCUGUGGGUUCGGGGUGGAGGAGCUGGAGUCGGCCAGCCCUGGGCUCUCCAGUCCUACUUACUUCGCCAGAUCUUCCAUUUCCCCAUCUCCGAAAUGGGCCAGCCCUCCCAGGACUGCAUGGAAUGACACAGACGAACGCCUUCUGGGAGCCGUCGAGUGCUGAGCCGACAUAAGGGAAUGGUGUUCUUGCAGUCUGGGGGCAACCGCAAGAUCUCUGCACACAAAGCAGCCAGGACACACCACGGUCCAGCAUAUAAUCAGCUCCUUCAUUAUGUGGUUCUAACUGUACGAACUACAGGAUUUCAGAGGAAAGCGAGACCAGCAGGGGCCCCGAAGACAGCAGCUCGUCCCAAGCAGAAUGAAUCCUCCAAACCAGAAAGAGAAGAAGGUCAGAAGCUAGAGGCAGGGGAGGGAAGCGCCUGCUCUCUCUCUUGGCCUCUCUGCCUCUGGCUUGGAAAAGAUCAGUCCCUGGGGAUUUGCUGCAGAGCAGGAGCUACUUCAGUAAAAUCAAUGAGCCACAGAUAGCAGGCCCUUCUGGGGUGAAGAGCUUGGACAGUGACUAGGGAAAUCACCCUGCUAAAACAAGUCCACCGACCUCACGUCUUCUUCAGCUUUAGGUAUGAGACAGCUUGAACCUGGGGGUCUGGCUUAAAGUCAGAGCCAGACUCAAAGGCCGUAUAGGGUCAGCUACCCAGGUGACCAUCAGUGGGUGAAUGAAUAAACAGGAUGUGGCAUAGCCAGGGACACCUGGGUGGCUCAGUCGUUAAGCGUCUGCCUUCGGCUCAGGUUGUGAUCCCAGAGUCCUGGGAUCAAGUCCCACAUCAGGCUCCUUGCUCAGUGAGGAGCCUGCUUCUCCCUCUCCCUCCUCUGCUGCUCCCCCUGCUUGUGCUCUCUCUCUCUCUGACAAAUAAAUAAAAAUCUUUAAAAAAAAAAAAAAAAAAGAAUGUGGCAUAGCCAUAGGGUGGAAUAUUAUUCAGCCUUGAAAAGGAAGGAAAUUCCAGCACCUGCUACAGCAUAGAUGAACCUUGAGGCCAUUAGCUAAAUACAAGCAGCCUGGCAUAAAAGGACAAAUAUUGUAUGAUUCCACUUAUAUGAGGUACUUGGAGUAAUCAAAUUCAUACAGACAGAAGGUAGAACAGUUGCCAGGAGCUGAGGGAAGGAGGAAUUAUUUAAUAGGUACAGGGCUUCAGUUUUGCAAAAUAGAAAGCAUUCUGGGGAUGGUUCCCUAACAAGGCAAAUGUACUUAAUACCACUGAACUGUAUGCUUAAAAAUGCUAAAGAUGAUAGGGUGCCUGGAUGGCUCAGUCUGUAGAGCAGGUGACUCUUGGUCUCGUGGUCAUGAGUUUGAGCCCCACAUGGGGCAUGGAGCCUACUUAAAAAAAUGAUUAAGAUGGCAAAUUUUAUGUGUUAUUUUACCACAAUUAAAACUUUUUACUUAUUUAUUUAUUUAUUUAUUAGAUUUUAUUUAUUUUGACAGAGCAUGAGCAGGGGGGAGGGGCAAAGGGAGAGGGAGAAGAGGCUCCCAGCAGAGCAGAGAGACCCACGUGGGGCUCGAUCCCAGGAACCUGGGAUCACGACCUGAGCCAAAGGCAAACACUUAACCAACUGAGCCACCCAGGCGCCCCUAAAACUUCUUAAAAAUCAGAAAAAUAAGUCAAAAUACCCCUGAAACCUUGAGGAAGGGACCACUGGAGACCCCCAUCCGUCUCUCCAUUAGUCCAUCGUAUGCCAGGAGCAGCGUUGGAGGACCACUUUGCAGGGGAUGAAUGGGAGGUGAGCUUUUAGAGGUUUGUUAUCUAGCAAAUAUAGGACAUGUUUUUUUCCACUCCCAACUCACUCAACGCUUGCAGGAGGCUCAUGAGAGGCACCCCGGAACUGAGGCCUUCUGUGGAGAGGAGCAGGGUCUUGCCUCCCUCCAGAGCAGGAACUGGCGGGCUGAAAUGACGGGCAGAAUUGCCCAUGCUCUUGACGUCUGGGCAUGUGCGCAGGCGCGCUCCCUGCACAGAAGUUUGUACGAGAAUGUGUGCAUGACGCAGCUCUCCUGCACUGCGAUCUGCAUCCUCAGGCCCCGGGCCAGAAGGGGCUUAAAUAAAGAUCUGUUGAACUAAGCUGUUUAUUCAUGAUGGAGCUUCGUCUUAGUUUCAUAUUCUUUCAGGAUCGGGAUGUACACAUCCUUCUCUCAUAUUGGACACAGACACCAGUGCAGUGCUGGGCCCAGAAAUCAUGUCUGUUGAAUCAUUGAAUGGAUACCUGUUGGGAGAUGAACGGGCAUAACGAAUGCCUAGUCCCCGUGGUGCCCUCCACCCACUCCUUAUCCAACCCGCUGGCAGACACCUGAGGCUCCUUUAACUGAUGAGCUAGGAUGGCAAAUUAAUAUGGACUGGGGCAGUGACAGAUGCCAGAUGUUUCUAGCCCUCAGUAGCCUGGACACUUCUAACCUCUACCCAAAUCAUAAAGCAGUGCCCUCGCUGUAACACUGCAGCUCUGUGAGUUAAGACACGCAUGCAGGCAUGUUGGAAACCAGCUUAGCGUUCACCAGUAGGCAGCUGGGUCAAUAAAAUACGAUACGUUUGUGCAAUAGACACCCUCAAGAUCCAGUAGACAUGAAGUCAUAGAAGAAUAAUGACAUGGCAUGAAGUCCCUAGUUUAGUGUUUUAGAUAAAUGUAUACAUAUUCUUUGCUCAGAUAUGCCCAUAACAUGUAUGUGCACGCCUGUGUGUGUGUGUGUGGUCCCCAAACCAGCAGCAACACCAGGGAACUUGUCAGAUAUGCACAUUCUCAGGCCCCACCCCAGACCUACUGAAUCAGAAAAUCUGGGACCCAACCGUCUGAUUUCACAAGCCCCCCAGGUGAUUCUUAUCAUACCCAAGUUUGAGAAGCCCUGACUCAUGGCAUUCCUGACACCCCUCUCCUUCCUUUGGACUCAUUUGUGUCUCUUCUCCAGGCCCUGAUCCAGCUGCCCCCCUAUAUCUCUCAGUGUGAUGAGGUGCUGCAGUUCUUUGAGACAAGACCCGAGGACCUGAAUCCCCCCAAAGAG